RNAcentral lists this ribosomal RNA (256 nucleotides) under uncultured bacterium. Its description in RNAcentral is "partial 16S ribosomal RNA". It matches the Rfam family "Bacterial small subunit ribosomal RNA", at positions 524 to 779 of the family's 1533-position model. The record is from RNAcentral.
UACGUAGGGCGCAAGCGUUAUCCGGAAUUAUUGGGCGUAAAGAGCUCGUAGGCGGUUUGUCGCGUCUGCCGUGAAAGUCCGGGGCUCAACUCCGGAUCUGCGGUGGGUACGGGCAGACUAGAGUGAUGUAGGGGAGACUGGAAUUCCUGGUGUAGCGGUGAAAUACGUAGAUAUCUGGAGGAACACCGGCGGCGAAGGCGGCUCACUGGCCAUAUACUGACGCUGAAGCACGAAAGCGUGGGGAUCAAACAGGAGU